AUGCCUUAAACUUAUGACUAAGGAAAAUAAUGAUUCAGGGUGAUGCCAAAAUACUCACUGUUAAUGUGAGACGAAUUUUUAAGCAGGUAAAGGUUGCCCCUAGGGUGACCCACCUACUUUGCAGGAAAAAAAGAAAAUUAAUAUUCUUG
This is a non-coding RNA of Myotis davidii, 149 nucleotides long. Lineage: Eukaryota; Metazoa; Chordata; Mammalia; Chiroptera; Vespertilionidae. The record is from Rfam.